CCCUUAGAUGUCCUGGGCCGCACGCGUGCUACACUGACGCCUACAGCGAGUACUUCCCAGCCCCGAGAGGCGGCUGGUAAUCAGCAAUAGGCGUCGUGAUGGGGAUAGAUCUUUGGAAUUAUGGAUCUUGAACGAGGAAUGCCUAGUAAGCGCAGGUCAUUAGCCUGCGCUGAUUACGUCCCUGCCCUUUGUACACACCGCCCGUCGCUACUACCGAUUGAACGUUUUAGUGAGGUACUCGGACUGAGCCUCAGAAGAUUCACGUCUUUUGUGCUGCUCGGGAAGAUUCCCAAACUUGAGCGUUUAGAGGAAGUAAAAGUCGUAACA
This 327-nucleotide ribosomal RNA is filed under the name uncultured eukaryote. RNAcentral's name for it is "partial 18S ribosomal RNA". It matches the Rfam family "Eukaryotic small subunit ribosomal RNA", at positions 1470 to 1796 of the family's 1831-position model. The record is from RNAcentral.